GCAGGGAAUGUAGCUCAGUGGUAGCCUUCCUGCUUAGCAUGCAGGAGAUCCUGGGUUCCAUGCCCAGUCCUGCA
This 74-nucleotide transfer RNA is filed under the name Marmota monax (woodchuck). RNAcentral describes it as "tRNA.Ala". The record is from RNAcentral. Lineage: Eukaryota; Metazoa; Chordata; Mammalia; Rodentia; Sciuridae.